UACGUAGGGGGCAAGCGUUGUCCGGAUUUAUUGGGCGUAAAGAGCGUGUAGGCGGCCAGAUAGGUCUGGUGUGAAAACUUGAGGCUCAACCUCAAGAGGUCACUGGAAACCAUUUGGCUAGAGUCCGGAAGAGGAGAGUGGAAUUCCUGGUGUAGCGGUGAAAUGCGCAGAUAUCAGGAAGAACACCCGUGGCGAAGGCGGCUCUCUGGGACGGUACUGACGCUGAGACGCGAAAGCGUGGGGAGCGAACAGG
This 253-nucleotide ribosomal RNA is filed under the name uncultured bacterium. RNAcentral's name for it is "partial 16S ribosomal RNA". It matches the Rfam family "Bacterial small subunit ribosomal RNA", at positions 524 to 776 of the family's 1533-position model. The record is from RNAcentral.